GACGAACGCUGGCGGCGUGCUUAACACAUGCAAGUCGAGCGGUAAGGCCCUUUCGGGGUACGACGAGCGGCGAACGGGUGAGUAACACGUGGGUGACCUGCCCUCAGCUCUGGGAUAAGCCUGGGAAACCGGGUCUAAUACUGGAUAUGACUCCAUGACGCAUGUUGUGGGGUGGAAAGCCUUGUGCGGCUGAGGAUGGGCCCGCGGCCUAUCAGCUUGUUGGUGGGGUGAGGGCCUACCAAGGCGACGACGGGUAGCCGGCCUGAGAGGGCGACCGGCCACACUGGGACUGAGACACGGCCCAGACUCCUACGGGAGGCAGCAGUGGGGAAUCUUGCGCAAUGGGCGAAAGCCUGACGCAGCGACGCCGCGUGAGGGAUGACGGCC
This 387-nucleotide ribosomal RNA is filed under the name uncultured bacterium. RNAcentral describes it as "bacterial SSU rRNA". It matches the Rfam family "Bacterial small subunit ribosomal RNA", at positions 28 to 416 of the family's 1533-position model. The record is from RNAcentral.